This 325-nucleotide ribosomal RNA is filed under the name uncultured bacterium. RNAcentral's name for it is "bacterial SSU rRNA". It matches the Rfam family "Bacterial small subunit ribosomal RNA", at positions 473 to 793 of the family's 1533-position model. The record is from RNAcentral.
CGUUAGCGACAGAAGAAGCACCGGCUAACUCCGUGCCAGCAGCCGCGGUAAUACGGAGGGUGCGAGCGUUAAUCGGAAUUACUGGGCGUAAAGCGCAUGCAGGUGGUUUGUUAAGUCAGAUGUGAAAGCCCCGGGGCUCAACCUCGGAAUUGCAUUUGAAACUGGCAGACUAGAGUACUGUAGAGGGGGGUAGAAUUUCAGGUGUAGCGGUGAAAAUGCGUAGAGAUCUGAAGGAAUACCGGUGGCGAAGGCGGCCCCCCUGGACAGAUACUGACACUCAGAUGCGAAAGCGUGGGGAGCAAACAGGAUUAGAUACCCCUGGUAG